UCAACAUGGUGUAGUGGUUUGAGCACUGGACUAGGACUCUAGAGACCAGGGUUCGAAUCCUUGGGCAA
Phrynosoma platyrhinos (Desert horned lizard) is the source of this 68-nucleotide non-coding RNA. The record is from the annotation of a GenBank genome assembly. Lineage: Eukaryota; Metazoa; Chordata; Lepidosauria; Squamata; Phrynosomatidae.